AAUGGAAGAAUGACAAAUCAGAUUUUCCCUUUUGAUUUUCAGUUUUUUUCUCCUGAAAAAAUUUAAAUCCAACUAAAAGUGCUAAAAAUCAGAAGGAAAAAUCUGAUUUGUUAUUCUCCCAUU
This is a non-coding RNA of Gossypium hirsutum (cotton), 123 nucleotides long. The record is from Rfam. NCBI's taxonomy places the organism in Eukaryota, Viridiplantae, Streptophyta, Magnoliopsida, Malvales, Malvaceae.